CUUGAUGGAGCCCAGCCAGAGCGGGUGGUUGUCGUCCCGGUCCUGGCCGUAGGUCGCCAGGAGUGCCUGGGCCUC
RNAcentral lists this antisense RNA (75 nucleotides) under Streptomyces sp. Cmuel-A718b. Its description in RNAcentral is "ASpks TB sRNA". It matches the Rfam family "ASpks TB sRNA". Lineage: Bacteria; Bacillati; Actinomycetota; Actinomycetes; Kitasatosporales; Streptomycetaceae. The record is from RNAcentral.